CUAGAAAAGCUUCGUGAGCGAGAUAUUAGCCGCCCGUACCCCAAACCGACACAGGUGGAUAGGUAGAGAAUACUAAGGCGAUCGAGAUAACCAUGGUGAAGGAACUCGGCAAAAUACCCCCGUAACUUCGGAAUAAGGGGGACCUGAGACGUAUUAGAAUUUACUUCGAAAGCGUCGAGGGUCGCAGAGACCAGGCCCAAGCGACUGUUUACUAAAAACACAGGUCCGUGCUAAGUCGUAAGACGAUGUAUACGGACUGACUCCUGCCCGGUGCUGGAAGGUUAAGGGGAAGGGUUAGCUUUGGCGAAGCCUUGAACUUAAGCCCCAGUAAACGGCGGUGGUAACUAUAACCAUCCUAAGGUAGCGAAAUUCCUUGUCGGGUAAGUUCCGACCUGCACGAAUGGAGUAACGACUUGGGCGCUGUCUCCACCAUGGACUCGGCGAAAUUGCACUUCGAGUAAAGAUGCUCGUUACGCGCAGCAGGACGGAAAGACCCCGGGACCUUCACUAUAGUUUGGUAUUGGUGAUCGGAGUGACUUGUGUAGGAUAGGUGGGAGACUUUGAAGCUUGGACGCCAGUUCAGGUGGAGUCAUCGUUGAAAUACCACUCUGGUCGCUUUGGUUAUCUAACCUAGGUCCAUUAUCUGGAUCAGGGACAGUGCCUGAUGGGUAGUUUGACUGGGGCGGUCGCCUCCUAAAAGGUAACGGAGGCGCCCAAAGGUUCCCUCAGCCUGGUUGGCAAUCAGGUUUCGAGUGUAAGUGCACAAGGGAGCUUGACUGCGAGAGAGACAUCUCAAGCAGGGACGAAAGUCGGGACUAGUGAUCUUCUGGUGGCACAUGGAAGCGCCAGGACUCAACGGAUAAAAGGUACCCCGGGGAUAACAGGCUGAUCUUGCCCGAGCGUCCAUAGCGACGGCAUGGUUUGGCACCUCGAUGUCGGCUCGUCGCAUCCUGGGGCUGGAGUCGGUCCCAAGGGUUGGGCUGUUCGCCCAUUAAAGCGGCACGCGAGCUGGGUUUAGAACGUCGUGAGACAGUUCGGUCCCUAUCCGCUGCGCGCGUAGGAGUCUUGAGAAGAGCUGUCCUUAGUACGAGAGGACCGGGACGGACUAACCUCUGGUGUGCCAGUUGUUCUACCAAGAGCACGGCUGGUUGGCUACGUUGGGAAGUGAUAACCGCUGAAAGCAUCUAAGCGGGAAGCACGCUUCAAGAUGAGGGCUCCCACAGAAUAAUCUGGUAAGGCCCCCUAUAGACCAUGGGGUGAUAGGUCGGAUGUGGAAGUGCAGCAAUGUACGGAGCUGACCGAUACUAAUAGGCCGAGGGCUUGUUC
RNAcentral lists this ribosomal RNA (1326 nucleotides) under metagenome. RNAcentral describes it as "bacterial LSU rRNA". It matches the Rfam family "Bacterial large subunit ribosomal RNA", at positions 1609 to 2925 of the family's 2925-position model. The record is from RNAcentral.